CAGUAGCCGCGGUAAUACGUAGGUGGCGAGCGUUGUCCGGAUUUAUUGGGCGUAAAGGGAGUGUAGGCGGUCUUUUAAGUCUGAUGUGAAAGCCCACGGCUCAACCGUGGAGGGUCAUUGGAAACUGGGAGACUUGAGUGCAGAAGAGGAGAGCGGAAUUCCAUGUGUAGCGGUGAAAUGCGUAGAUAUAUGGAGGAACACCAGUGGCGAAGGCGGCUCUCUGGUCUGUAACUGACGCUGAGGCUCGAAAGCGUGGGGAGCAAACAGGAUUAGAUACCCCUGUAGUCCCUGUCUCUUAUAA
Molecule: ribosomal RNA, 301 nt
Filed under: uncultured bacterium
Lineage: Bacteria
Description: partial 16S ribosomal RNA
Rfam family: Bacterial small subunit ribosomal RNA
Source: RNAcentral